Drosophila pseudoobscura is the source of this 347-nucleotide long non-coding RNA. RefSeq lists it as uncharacterized. The transcript has 2 exons. The record is from RefSeq and is a predicted model, not a curated record. NCBI's taxonomy places the organism in Eukaryota, Metazoa, Arthropoda, Insecta, Diptera, Drosophilidae.
UCCACUAGUUCACUCCUGAUGUUAAUGGUCUACCUGAACGCUGAACGGAUUCGGAUUCGGAUUCAGAUGCGGAUGCGGAUGAGGAUGCGGUUCGAGGAAGCUCAACACUUUCGAGGGAAUUAAGCGGGCCGAACGGCACAACAAUGGAUGGCCGCUGCGAAUCUAAUCCGGAAAUUCAUUAAAAUGGAUUUCUGCACAUUUAAAAAGCAUUAUUCGCCGCCGCUUGGAUCCGACACGAACCCAUCAAUUUAAAAGAGCUUUGUUCUUUCAUAAAUCUCCUGCGCGAAUGGACUUGUUUUAUAUUUAUUGAAAAAAAUCAAUCUAUAAUCCAUUCGCGAAAUGUGAAA